GGGAUGUCAUUGGCUGCUCAGCAGUCGCCUUUAUGCACUGAGCCAUCUAGCUGUCCCUGUUUUUUUUUUUAAAUCAAUGUUCUUAGGAAUUAUUAAACCAAACUGUAUUUCGUGGCUUGUUACAUAAUAUCUCUCUUUGCAAGCUUAUUAAAGUGACCUGCAUUAUAAACAGCUUCCUUUAAAAUAGAUAUAAUCUAGCGUUUCAGUGAAAUAAGCCAAUUUCAGUUUGGCAGAAAAACCAGAUGAUCCAAUGGAAUGUCAGCCAUGUUCCAGUCCAUUACUAACCAACUUCCAGUGCCCUUCUUCCUCUCAGCAGAUCUGGCCUCCACUGAUGCAAACCUUUCUGCUUGCUCCCUCAGUCUGCUACACAGUCAAAUAACACACAAUAUAGAGAGAAUAACGUGCCAUUUCCAUACCUGUUGGCCAGUCACCUGGAAUGUCUCCUCUGCAUGCAUGCACGUUAUCUCGAGGGGUUCUGUGCCGGAUACAUGCCGCAACAGUCGACAUGUCUGCAAGAAAACAUUUCUACGGGUCACCUUCCACACCCUCAUCCUUCUCACGAUUCUACGUUUACAAACCUAAGAAUGAAUCUGUACAUGACUGAACACCAAAGCAGGA
RNAcentral lists this long non-coding RNA (618 nucleotides) under Rattus norvegicus (Norway rat). RNAcentral's name for it is "long non-coding RNA NONRATT022288". The record is from RNAcentral. Lineage: Eukaryota; Metazoa; Chordata; Mammalia; Rodentia; Muridae.